CCCGCACAAGCGGUGGAGCAUGUGGUUUAACUCGACGCAACGCGAAGAACCUUACCAGGGCUUGACAUCCCCUGACCGCGUAUGAAAGUACGUUUUCACCCUCGGGUGACAGGGAGACAGGUGGUGCAUGGUUGUCGUCAGCUCGUGUCGUGAGAUGUUGGGUUAAGUCCCGCAACGAGCGCAACCCCUACGUUUAGUUGCUAACGCGUGAAGGCGAGCACUCUAGACGAACUGCCGUUGACAAAACGGAGGAAGGUGGGGAUGACGUCAAAUCAUCAUGCCCCUUAUGUUCUGGGCUACACACGUGCUACAAUGGCCGGUACAGACGGACGCAAAGCCGCGAGGUGGAGCAAAUCCUAAAAAGCCGGUCUCAGUUCGGAUUGCAGGCUGCAAUUCGCCUGCAUGAAGUCGGAAUCGCUAGUAAUCGCAGGUCAGCAUACUGCGGUGAAUACGUUUCCGGGCCUU
RNAcentral lists this ribosomal RNA (465 nucleotides) under uncultured Pelotomaculum sp. RNAcentral's name for it is "bacterial SSU rRNA". It matches the Rfam family "Bacterial small subunit ribosomal RNA", at positions 920 to 1382 of the family's 1533-position model. The record is from RNAcentral. Lineage: Bacteria; Bacillati; Bacillota; Clostridia; Eubacteriales; Desulfotomaculaceae.